AGUGAACGCUGGCGGUAGGCCUAACACAUGCAAGUCGAACGGCAGCACAGUAAGAGCUUGCUCUUACGGGUGGCGAGUGGCGGACGGGUGAGGAAUACAUCGGAAUCUACUUUUUCGUGGGGGAUAACGUAGGGAAACUUACGCUAAUACCGCAUACGACCUACGGGUGAAAGCAGGGGAUCUUCGGACCUUGCGCGAUUGAAUUAGCCGAUGUCGGAUUAGCUAGUUGGCGGGGUAAAGGCCCACCAAGGCGACGAUCCGUAGCUGGUCUGAGAGGAUGAUCAGCCACACUGGAACUGAGACACGGUCCAGACUCCUACGGGAGGCAGCAGUGGGGAAUAUUGGACAAUGGGCGCAAGCCUGAUCCAGCCAUACCGUGUGGGUGAAGAAGGCCUUCGGGUUGUAAAGCCCUUUUGUUGGGAAAGAAAAGCAGCAGGUUAAUACCCCGAUGUUCUGACGGUACCCAAAGAAUAAGCACCGGCUAACUUCGUG
Molecule: ribosomal RNA, 492 nt
Filed under: uncultured bacterium
Lineage: Bacteria
Description: partial 16S ribosomal RNA
Rfam family: Bacterial small subunit ribosomal RNA
Source: RNAcentral